RNAcentral lists this ribosomal RNA (273 nucleotides) under uncultured bacterium. Its description in RNAcentral is "partial 16S ribosomal RNA". It matches the Rfam family "Bacterial small subunit ribosomal RNA", at positions 524 to 796 of the family's 1533-position model. The record is from RNAcentral.
UACGGAGGGUGCAAACGUUGCUCGGAAUCAUUGGGCGUAAAGCGCACGUAGGCGGUCCGCCAAGUCGGGUGUGAAAGCCCUCGGCUUAACCGGGGAAGUGCAUUCGAAACUAGCGGGCUGGAGUACCGGAGAGGAUAGCGGAAUUCCCGGUGUAGAGGUGAAAUUCGUAGAUAUCGGGAGGAACACCAGUGGCGAAGGCGGCUAUCUGGACGGAUACUGACGCUGAGGUGCGAAAGCGUGGGGAGCAAACAGGAUUAGAAACCCUAGUAGUCC